RNAcentral lists this long non-coding RNA (1376 nucleotides) under Nicotiana tabacum (common tobacco). RNAcentral describes it as "long non-coding RNA (NTAB_LNC001969)". Lineage: Eukaryota; Viridiplantae; Streptophyta; Magnoliopsida; Solanales; Solanaceae. The record is from RNAcentral.
UAAUUAUUUUCAUAACAAAAACUGAGUAUUGAAGCAAAUCUUGCUAAUUCCAAUUAGCCCCAAUCUCUUCAAAUCCAACUCUCUCACGCCUCUCUCUUCAUUUGACUUCAACUUCAACACCACAUUUACAAACACCCAGAUAUGUGAGAUUCACUAAUUCACACCGGAGAAGAGAACCCAGCACAAAGAACCCUAAAUCGUCUCCGACUUAGAACCCUAAACCUUGUCCAACUCCUCUUGUCCUGGCGAUAGAGCCCUAGAAAGGUAGCUACAUCCUACAAUUGGUCAAAAUCUUUGCAUCUUUCGGGAUAAACAAGCCCCAUCGGAGCUCAUUAACGUUGUAAACAAUAUCGAGAUGAGGUAUUUUACCCUUUCUCUUCUCUCACCUGUCGAUUUGCUUAUCCCACUAACAUAGAUCGGGUUUGUUUCUUUGUUUUCUUUCAAGAUCUAACUUUUGAGAGCUAAUGUGGUACGCAUUGAAACCUAGAAGUGGUUGAUGGUGUCUACCUGAAGAGCUUCGGUUGAAGCUUCAAGAGUUUUGUAUUUUUCCAGAAUUCCCAAAUUGUAAAAGGUCCAUAUCUUCCUAGUUCAAUUUUUUUAUUACUCAAACUUAAACUUGGGUAAGAAUAUUUUGUGUUUGUUCUUUUCAUUUCUUUCUAUAUUCUAAGUAGUUUACAAAUCAUAUUGCUCGUGAAACAAUGUCACUAAAUAUUUUUUUUCUACAUAAGGUUUAUGCUUCUUCAUUUCUUUCUAUGUUUUAAUUAGUUUGCAAAUUUUAUUAUGGUAUUUUAGGUUUCAUCGUGAAGCUAGAAAUGUAUUCUAUUUGCUAUCGAGUUCGAAUCUUUUUUCCAAGGGUGAGAUUUGAUUGGGGAAAACAAUGCAUUGUUGGUAGAAAGCAUAUCACCUAAGAAGUUGACUCAAGAAUUUAUUUUAUUUUAGGUUUCAGAUUUUCAUAGGAUGAUGACAAGAGGGCAACAAGAUCAGCUUUUCUUCAUUGUUGAUCUUUACAAACGUAAUCUGUAUCCUCAAAUAAUAGAUACAAGGAUUAUAAAUCUGUAGCCACUAAACUAGUUAUUUUAUGAACUAAUUUUCUGCAAGUAAUACAAGAAUCAUUGCUUCAUGUUCUGAUUUAGCGUUGAAGUACAACCAGAUCAAGUGUUUUUGGAACUUGAAUUGCUUCCACAUAGGACAGUAACACCAAACAGCUAAGUUGUAUUAGGUGAAAUAGUGCUUUGGCUUCUAAUUAUGUGUUCCUCAAUAUAAUUUUGGGGCAAAAUAGUUUUUUUUUUAAACAUAAAUUUUAUUGUUAUCUGUUACCUUUGUUAUGCCACAAGCUAUAGCUAAAUUUUUUUAAACUAUGCAAAGCAAUAAGUCUU